GUUCAUAAGCUAAAAGCGUCCACCUGUUAGGAAUGACGGAGCGUCACCUAACAGAAGUACGAUUUCUCCCCUCCCAUUGCUAGAUCAGACCUGGGCAGCCAAGGCCUCGCCCAGAGGCUCGGUGUUGUCUGGGCAGUAGCUUGGGAUGCUCGCGCCUUCGCUGCAGGGUCGCUGCCUCAUGGUCAUAACACGGCUGCCACAGGUCCAGGCAUUGUGUCUGUGUGUAGGCCACGGAGAAACAGGGAGGAGCCACUGGCCGUAUCUGCUCCCGUUUCUCCUAAAAGCAAAAGCCCUGAAUGUCCCCCGCAGAGUGCCCUUUAGGUUCCAGGGCCACUCUUUGCUGCAAAAGAAGUGCGGAAAUAGGGAACAGAGUUGACCCAAUUGUGACCGAUCACUGGGCUGAACAUGUUGUCCCCGGGGCAGACGCUACCGCUGCAUACACAUUCUUUCCCUCUUGAUUUUUAGGAACGGACCCCUCAAUCUUAUCUGGAUUACCCCAAAUAAAGCCCAUCUCUCUAUCUCCUUUACAGGGUAAAAAUUAGUAACAGGAAACCCCACUGAAAUGGAGUGGGGAGGUUUGGCGGGGGGAGCUCCCAGCCCUAGCUCGUGGUCAGUUGCAGACGCAACGGGAAGAGACAGACUUGACCUUGCAUACUUCCCUUGUCCACCGACAGCUCCGCCGACGAGAAACCACCACACUUGGAACGCCUGGUUUCCUCCGAUGGACUUUUAGUUCAUAACCACCUUCCCAACCGAUCUCUUUUCUCCUUAAAAAAGCAUACCUCUCCCUUGUUCCCCAGAUUUGCCUACAGUCUCACCACCGCUUACUGUCCUGGGCUGUGAAUCUCUCUUCUUCCCCAAUAAACCCAUCUGUAGGUGGGGAAGUAACUGGCAGUUCGACGUUUGAGGUUGACCACGGCCAGGCGUGCCCACGCGCCUAGGCUCUGCUCCUGCACCUUGACUCGCUGGAGUUUCUUGGCUGAGAAGGAGGGGAGUGGCAGGAGCCCUGGCCUUCUGCCGGGCAGCUGAGUGGCCCACGGUCCCACGGCACCAUCCCCGACCCGCUCAUCCGACGGGCUGCUGGCCCUCCCCAGACAAAAACCUUCUCACCAUCUCCAGCUUUUCCCCUCAGGUGGUGGUGAGACCACGGCAGGCCCGUCCCAGGCCUGGGCUGUGGCACGGGGGGCCUCAGAGGUCAGCACUGAAUUGUGUAACUAACACCCAUCUUGAGAAUCAUAUACACGGACCAUCAGGAAUGUCAACACUUGGAAUGGUGUUGUCCCCCGGAAAGUUCUGUCAGGCAAGGCCUCUCCGCCUGCUACAGAGGUCACCGUGGCUCAGACUCAUCGUUCCUGUUCCACAAUCACAGGAAAUGAAUGUCUCUUACGUAUCCGAUGCCCAUUUGGGGCCCUUCUGAAUGAAGCUGCUCUUCACUCUCGCGUGCGAGGACUCGUGUCAACAUAGGUUUCUCACUUCUCCUGGGCAAACAGAGUGGAAUUUCUGGUUUGGCGGGCAAUGAAAUACAAAACUCAAGAUAAUUAUACAAAACAAAAGAAGUUACAUGACGAUUCCAAAUUGUGUGAUGGUUCUAAACCAGGAAUCUAGGUCUGAAAGGAGCCAACUGAAAUAUUAAUUGGCAUUUAUUCCGACUUAGAGGGGAAAGGUUCUCCUUACAAGGGCAAAGCUGGAGUCCUGUAUACCUUCCGGAAGUUUCUGCCUGGAGCAGCCACGAAAGCUGACUAGUGGACUGCAAGAGCUGGGAGAACUAACCAAGUACGUUUGGGAAGAUACUGUGUAGAUAUAAAUAUGAAACAACAGCUGAUGAACUUUUUGCAAAAACAGCACAACUUCGGAGACAUUGUAAAACAGUGUUGUCAUCUCAAAAGAACUGUUUGGAACCAAAUCUGCUAUGGAUAAACAGCCUGUAAGCCUGCCAACUCGGAGACCAUGAAUUUGGAUAAGAAUCCAAAGUCAGUUAAUAGGUCAGAAGAAAGAAGGCUUUGUGAAUUCUGAAAUUUCCAACCCUUUGAAGAAUGCAAGGGAAAAUGAACCUGUCCCGGGAUAAUAAUGAGGCUGUUUCUAAAAGACACACUCAAAAGAAGUUUCCCCCUUUCACAAGGAUUUGGAUAAAGCAGUCUUGUCUUCCUACAAAAGAGAGAGGAAAACAGUGAGAAGAAGGUGUACUGGCCUGGUCCAGACAUCGCGGGAAAGCUGUGUGGUCAGAUGUCAUCUGCUUCAAUUCUGGGAAAUCUGUACUUUGGGGUCACCAGAUGGCAUGCAGGGCCAGUCAGGGUUUGGUGCUUUCUUUGCAUGUCUUACAUGAAUCCGAGAGCGUAUUCCCUGGAGUUCGGCGGCACUUUCCAGCGAGAGUGAAGAGAGUCUUUCUGGAGGCACCUUUUCUGACAGACGAAAUCUCCAGGUUGCAAGGGGUGAUGCAGGUCAUUGUCCCCCUGGGAGCGCACUGUGGAAAGAUCGCUCUGCCAAACCAUGGUUAUUUUUAAUAGAAGCAGCUAGGCCUUGAGACCACCGAACUGGAUCUCCCUUUUUCAGCUGUGGGUCAGAGGAGGCAGGGGCCACGCGGGCCAGAUGUCCUGGGACUCUCUGGGGGCGGUGAGAGUCGAGGAGUUCCAAAGAGAGUGGAUCUGAGAUUUAGAAGGAUCCACAGCAGUGCUUUCGGCCAAGGUGUGCGGACGGUCUCCACAGAUGUUGCCAAUUGAGACUUCGUGAUGCUGUCAGUGAGCGUGACUAACUGUGAGGACUGAGGAUGGUGUGCACCGUGCAAGUGUUGUUAACACCCGCCCAACAGUGCAGAUUUGUCGAAGCACCUGACCGGUGAAACGGGUUCCCCGAUCGCUGUGAAGUUGGAGAGGGGUCCCCAGGCAGGGAUUCUCUUUCUCACAGAAUUUUAGCCACAGAAGAAGCAGUGGCCUGUCUACAAGGGAAAGCUUCGGUCCAAUGACAAACAUACAGACCGCAACUAAAAUGUGUUUCUAUCCCCGAGAUAGGGAAGCUGCAGGAGAUCCACUUGCCAAACUGGAGUGGCCCUGCAGGCAGUCCAGAGUCUGGGAGCCGUGCAGUUUUCCCCGGACUAUGCUUUGAACAUAGGGAUAAGCAUGGUAGGCAUUGUGGAUUCUGCCAAUAUCCGUGGAGAUUUUGCCCAUAAGGAGGGUGGCAGCUGAUCUAAUCGAGAAUAAUGAUUAGUGUCUUUGGAAUCAGCUCCGGUUAGCUUAGAGAUGGAGCAAAAAAAACAUGUUGAAGGGCUAUUUGAUUUACUUCUUUGGAUACUUUGAUGGCUCCUGUCACUCGAGAACGAUUUCCCCCUUUGGGGAGGAAGAAAUUCCAGCAUGAAAUUUUUCUAAGAGAUCUCAGCCCAAUAAGUGACUAGGGGCAGAGGAACUAAAGAGAAAAGGGCAUGUAUCUCUCAAAGGGCCUGGACGGAGGGACAGGGCUCAGGGACAGGCACCUGUUUGGGUGAUUAGAGGUCCCACUCUGGGAGCUGUUUGCGCUCCAAGGCAUGGGCUGCCUCGUGGUGGUGGGCUGAACACUGAGAGUCAAUACAGACGGAGAUUCACUCCCAGUCUGGAGGGUGGUUUCUCCGGGUGGAAUAAGAGGGAGGACUGGGAAAAGCCAAGAGUUCCUUAGAGCCCCAGCACUGGGACUUAGGAGGACACUGGGCGGGUUUGGUCAGAGGGUCGGAGGUGCUGGAGCACUUACACUGAUAACAGUGUUUCCCCCAAUGUCCUGGCCCUUUGCAAUAACAGUAAAAACCAUGAGGUUUUUGGCUUUGGGGGCCUCCAUUUGCCAGAGCUGAAAAUUGAGAAUUUUAGCGGCCUUUGUUUUAGGUGACUCAUCCAGGAUUGGAGCAAGCUAGCUUGCCAAAUUGACUAAAUCUGGGGCAGACGUAGUUUCACAUUCCAUGCUGGUCCUAUUAACUAAAAGAGAAAGGUCCCAGUUUGGCCCCUUAAAAAACAUAGUUAAGUGAUGCCUGGUUGGAUUCAACAUCUAAAGGAAGACCAGAACUUUCUUUAAACACCAUUUGGAAUCAGUGAGCAUAACCUAACAAAUCGACUUGUUGGAUCACUGUGUUGUACACCCGAAACUAGGGUAAAGUUGUGUGUCAACUCUAUUUCAAUAAAACAAGCAACAGAAGAUUGAAAGAUUUUGACUAAUAUUCUUUCAAACUACCAUCUGUCAUAAGCAAAACAGAAAAACAGCAAAUAAACUGGGGGAAAAACGUGGAACUAUAUGACAGUUAAAUUGUCAAUAUUUUUGGAUAUUAAAAGUUAUUUUAAGUCAAUAAUGUAAAGCCAAAUAUUCCAAUGAAAAUAUAGAAGAAAAAACAACAAAAAAGAAAAUAUAGAAGUAAGAAAUGAACAGAUAAUGCAUGAAAGAAAAAAAAUACCAAAGACUUACAAUAUAAAAGAUAUUUUACAGUAAUAAAUAAAUACUUCUAAUCACGGAAUCAACUCUAUUGGCCGUGUUGACCUAGAAAAUGUGUAUUAACUUUCUAUGCCUCAAUUUACUAAUUUGUGAAAUUGGGAUUAAAAUUAGUAACUAAUUUACAAAGUUUUUGUGAGAUGAUAUAAGAUAAAUAUA
Mirounga angustirostris (Northern elephant seal) is the source of this 4596-nucleotide long non-coding RNA. RefSeq lists it as uncharacterized. The transcript is spliced from 2 exons. Lineage: Eukaryota; Metazoa; Chordata; Mammalia; Carnivora; Phocidae. The record is from RefSeq and is a predicted model, not a curated record.